GCUAGCAGUCAUAACACCCUGCAACUCACAACUGUCAGCCCACUGAAGCUAAGCAGGUGUGAGCCGGGUCAGUACCUGGAUGGGAGCCUUCCUGGGAAAAACUAAGGUUGCUGCUGGAA
Ribosomal RNA from Lepisosteus oculatus (spotted gar), 119 nucleotides. The record is from Rfam. Lineage: Eukaryota; Metazoa; Chordata; Actinopteri; Semionotiformes; Lepisosteidae.